UUACGGUCAAAUCACGCUGAAACACCGGUUCUCGUACGAUCACCGAAGUUAAGCAUCGUAGAGCCAGGUCAGUACUUAGAUGGGGGACCACUUGGGAACACCUGGUACUGUAAG
Molecule: ribosomal RNA, 114 nt
Filed under: Acanthosepion pharaonis
Lineage: Eukaryota; Metazoa; Mollusca; Cephalopoda; Sepiida; Sepiidae
Source: RNAcentral